This is a non-coding RNA of Arachis ipaensis, 855 nucleotides long. NCBI's taxonomy places the organism in Eukaryota, Viridiplantae, Streptophyta, Magnoliopsida, Fabales, Fabaceae. The record is from RefSeq and is a predicted model, not a curated record.
GCUGUCUUUUUUUGUCUUUACCUUUAUUUCACUCAAUUCUUUUACUUUCACAAUUAAACUUUAUUAAUACCUACAACUUUCCAGAUCUUGACUCUCAAUAUCUAUUUACUUUGGUAUUCUUCAACUAAAUGACUUUAUCUAUUAAUACCUACAAUUAAACUUAAUGUCAUUUCCAAAACAGUUUGUGAAAACAAGUUUUUGAAUAAAUAAUAGAACUAUAAACUAUCUAAACAAAAUUAACUUUAUUUAUUACUUUUCUUUUUGGGGUGUCAAGAAACAAAAUUAACUUUUAAUAACAUCACUUUAGAAAUAGUGAGGAAUUGAUGGGAAUUGGGGAUGGUAUUUGUCGCCAAAAAAGAUAGUACAAUUCUCAAAGUCUUAGAAGUCAUUUAUUAAAAAGAAAUCUUAACAAAACAUUAUUGUUCUUUCAUAACCACCACACUAUUUGUUGUUACUUGUUUCCCACUUUGCCAUACUUGUUUCCCACUUCUUUCAUAAUUCCAAUUUCAUUAUAUUAUUAUUGUAGUUGCAGGAGGCAUAGCUAGAAAGAUAGAAAGGGCUCCCUGUUGUGACAAGGUGGGACUCAAGAAAGGCCGCUGGACAAAAGAGGAGGAUCAAAUCUUGAUCAACUACAUUCAAGCCAAUGGAGAAGGUUCUUGGAGGGCUUUGCCUAAGAAUGCUGAUUUAGCAUAUGGGACAAGUCAAGCAUGGAUAUAAAAUAUGCAAGUAGAUUGAUAUUUUUUGAUAAAUAUUAAUUACUAUUUUGUUAUGACAAUUAUUGUUAGACAAGAAUUUUAUUAUUUUGUUGAGAAUUAUUGAUGAAGAUGUAUUUGAAAUACUAAUUAAACUUUUUAA